RNAcentral lists this unclassified non-coding RNA (370 nucleotides) under Hevea brasiliensis (rubber tree). The record is from RNAcentral. Lineage: Eukaryota; Viridiplantae; Streptophyta; Magnoliopsida; Malpighiales; Euphorbiaceae.
GAGACCAACAAAUCAUGUUCCAGCUUCAAAUUUGGAUAUAGUAUCAUCAUUUUAUUAACUAAGGCACUGACCAGCUACAAGGGAUUGUGGGACUUCUUCAUAGUGGCAACUCCAGUUAAAAAAAAGGAAUGUGAAGAGAAGUUGAUCAAUGACAAUGCCCUUCAUCGAAAUUUCAUAUAUGAAGCUACUCAGUGAAUCCCAAUCCUAAAGUUCAGAAAGGGUAGCAGUACAUCCACCAAUUGUCAUGGUUACACACCACCACAGCUUAAUCUCUUGAAGGGCUGGAGAAGCUAGCUUCGAAAUGAUUCCUCCUUUAGCAAAUGAUUGCAGAAAAGUUAGACGAUCAGUUGUCCACCAGAUAGGCAAUGGC